CAGGCUUAACACAUGCAAGUCGAGGGGCAGCAUGGUCUUAGCUUGCUAAGGCCGAUGGCGACCGGCGCACGGGUGAGUAACACGUAUCCAACCUGCCGUCUACUCUUGGACAGCCUUCUGAAAGGAAGAUUAAUACAAGAUGGCAUCAUGAGUCCGCAUGUUCACAUGAUUAAAGGUAUUCCGGUAGACGAUGGGGAUGCGUUCCAUUAGAUAGUAGGCGGGGCAACGGCCCACCUAGUCUUCGAUGGAUAGGGGUUCUGAGAGGAAGGUCCCCCACAUUGGAACUGAGACACGGUCCAAACUCCUACGGGAGGCAGCAGUGAGGAAUAUUGGUCAAUGGGCGAGAGCCUGAACCAGCCAAGUAGCGUGAAGGAUGACUGCCCUAUGGGUUGUAAACUUCUUUUAUAAAGGAAUAAAGUCGGGUAUGGAUACCCGUUUGCAUGUACUUUAUGAAUAAGGAUCGGCUAACUCCGUGCCAGCAGCCGCGGUAAUACGGAGGAUCCGAGCGUUAUCCGGAUUUAUUGGGUUUAAAGGGAGCGUAGAUGGAUGUUUAAGUCAGUUGUGAAAGUUUGCGGCUCAACCGUAAAAUUGCAGUUGAUACUGGAUAUCUUGAGUGCAGUUGAGGCAGGCGGAAUUCGUGGUGUAGCGGUGAAAUGCUUAGAUAUCACGAAGAACUCCGAUUGCGAAGGCAGCCUGCUAAGCUGCAACUGACAUUGAGGCUCGAAAGUGUGGGUAUCAAACAGGAUUAGAUACCCUGGUAGUCCACACGGUAAACGAUGAAUACUCGCUGUUUGCGAUAUACUGCAAGCGGCCAAGCGAAAGCGUUAAGUAUUCCACCUGGGGAGUACGCCGGCAACGGUGAGACUCAAAGGAAUUGACGGGGGCCCGCACAAGCGGAGGAACAUGUGGUUUAAUUCGAUGAUACGCGAGGAACCUUACCCGGGCUUAAAUUGCAGAUGAAUUACGGUGAAAGCCGUAAGCCGCAAGGCAUCUGUGAAGGUGCUGCAUGGUUGUCGUCAGCUCGUGCCGUGAGGUGUCGGCUUAAGUGCCAUAACGAGCGCAACCCUUGUUGUCAGUUACUAACAGGUUCCGCUGAGGACUCUGACAAGACUGCCAUCGUAAGAUGUGAGGAAGGUGGGGAUGACGUCAAAUCAGCAUGGCCCUUACGUCCGGGGCUACACACGUGUUACAAUGGGGGGUACAGAGGGCCGCUACCACGCGAGUGGAUGCCAAUCCCCAAAACCUCUCUCAGUUCGGACUGGAGUCUGCAACCCGACUCCACGAAGCUGGAUUCGCUAGUAAUCGCGCAUCAGCCACGGCGCGGUGAAUACGUUCCCGGGCCUUGUACACACCGCCCGUCAAGCCAUGGGAGCCGGGGGUACCUGAAGUGCGUAACCGCGAGGAGCGCCCUAGGGUAAAACUGGUGACUGGGGCUAAGUC
This 1440-nucleotide ribosomal RNA is filed under the name uncultured organism. Its description in RNAcentral is "16S ribosomal RNA". It matches the Rfam family "Bacterial small subunit ribosomal RNA". The record is from RNAcentral.